ACAAACAUGCCUAGCGGCAUAUUUUUUCUGUUUGUUUUGUGGGUCGUGUCAAACGUGAUAAAAUCACCAAAAUCCUUGCACUCAGCUCUUUGGCUAGCGGGGCUCCAGAAUCUAUUCCUAAGAACCUUUGCUUUCAGAUCAAAUCCACAUCCCAGUUUAAGUACUCGUUGCUCACCUUGCACUCUCUAAAAAACUGAAAAAGCUUGUCCAGAUCACCAUCCCUGUCC
Molecule: long non-coding RNA, 227 nt
Filed under: Setaria viridis
Lineage: Eukaryota; Viridiplantae; Streptophyta; Magnoliopsida; Poales; Poaceae
Description: long non-coding RNA (SVIR_LNC004582)
Source: RNAcentral